AUUUAGCUCAGUUGGUUCAGAGCAUCCCGAUUAAUCGGGAGGGUCAGGGGUUCGAAUCCCUUAUU
This 65-nucleotide transfer RNA is filed under the name Flavobacterium haoranii. RNAcentral's name for it is "Flavobacterium sp. LQY-7 tRNA". It matches the Rfam family "tRNA", at positions 5 to 66 of the family's 71-position model. From Rfam's summary of the family: Transfer RNA (tRNA) molecules are approximately 80 nucleotides in length. Their secondary structure includes four short double-helical elements and three loops (D, anti-codon, and T loops). Further hydrogen bonds mediate the characteristic L-shaped molecular structure. tRNAs have two regions of fundamental functional importance: the anti-codon, which is responsible for specific mRNA codon recognition, and the 3' end, to which the tRNAs corresponding amino acid is attached (by aminoacyl-tRNA synthetases). tRNAs cope with the degeneracy of the genetic code in two manners: having more than one tRNA (with a specific anti-codon) for a particular amino acid; and 'wobble' base-pairing, i.e. permitting non-standard base-pairing at the 3rd anti-codon position. Lineage: Bacteria; Pseudomonadati; Bacteroidota; Flavobacteriia; Flavobacteriales; Flavobacteriaceae. The record is from Rfam by way of RNAcentral.